GGGGACGAGGGGGGGAGCGGGAGAGACGCGGAAAAGGUCAAACUGAAGGCGAGCCGGGGAAGCGGCGGCUGCAGCGGCGGGAGCGGCGCCCCUUCCCGGCAGAUAUUCCCGAAAAUAACUUGGUUGUGCAACUCCUGUAGACUAACAACAAGUACUGACAAUUCCCCUACAACUGUUCCUCAUUGGGUUGCACAGACAUAUAAAUUCAAAAGAGAGAGGAGUAUUAGAAGCAGUGGCACAUUCCACCAGGACAAACUGACACACUCACGAUAAAGAAGCACAGACCUUAAAGGACAUUUGGUUGUCAUCUCAGGGACUUUGGGUGUUUCCUGAGGAGCUUUCCAUGACUUUGAAGGCCCGCAGAGGCAAUGGUGACUUUGGCACAUAUGCUCCCUCAAGAGUUUCAAUAGAAACAUUGGAUUCCUGGUCAACAGACUGACCUUGUUAUUACAGUGGUUUAACACCAGUUGCAUUAAAAUUCAUUCACAC
Notechis scutatus (mainland tiger snake) is the source of this 489-nucleotide non-coding RNA. NCBI's taxonomy places the organism in Eukaryota, Metazoa, Chordata, Lepidosauria, Squamata, Elapidae. The record is from RefSeq and is a predicted model, not a curated record.